GCAGAGCCCGGCACCCGGGAACCUCUUCCGGACGUUCCGCCUUCGCGCACGGAUGCGCCCGACGUUUGCACCGAGCCCGACCACGGUGAUUUAAUGCUACCCUGGAGUGUGCACCAGUGUAAGGUGCUGUAAUGCUACCGCUGCUGUUGACACAAUACCAGAAAUGGAACCAUCUCUUCAUAUCUGGUGCUUUGGAACAACAGUAAUCGACCCUAUAAAGCAGAGCUGCAAAACUCACAUCUAGUAGGGGGCCGCCCAACUCUCUGAAAUGUAUCAUUUUACUUCAUUCAAUGGUAGCACAUUCACAGCUGAACAUCACUAAUUUUCCUACACUCUAACGUGCAGCUAAGAGUGUUUUUAGAAAAAAAAUUGACAGAUAUUUCUUUCUGUCCAGAAAUAAACAAAUUGGCUCGUAACUGA
Lepus europaeus (European hare) is the source of this 420-nucleotide long non-coding RNA. RefSeq lists it as uncharacterized. The transcript has 4 exons. NCBI's taxonomy places the organism in Eukaryota, Metazoa, Chordata, Mammalia, Lagomorpha, Leporidae. The record is from RefSeq and is a predicted model, not a curated record.